RNAcentral lists this ribosomal RNA (464 nucleotides) under uncultured bacterium. Its description in RNAcentral is "partial 16S ribosomal RNA". It matches the Rfam family "Bacterial small subunit ribosomal RNA", at positions 29 to 507 of the family's 1533-position model. The record is from RNAcentral.
ACGCACGCUGGCGGCGUGCUUCACCCCUGCAAGUCGCACGGAAAGGCCCUGCUUGCAGGGUACUCGAGUGGCGAACGGGUGAGUAACACGUGGGUGAUCUGCCCUGCACUUCGGGAUAAGCCUGGGAAACUGGGUCUAAUACCGGAUAGGAGCCAUUUUUAGUGUGAUGGUUGGAAAGUUUUUUCGGUGUAGGAUGAGCUCGCGGCCUAUCAGCUUGUUGGUGGGGUAAUGGCCUACCAAGGCGGCGACGGGUAGCCGGCCUGAGAGGGUGGACGGCCACAUUGGGACUGAGAUACGGCCCAGACUCCUACGGGAGGCAGCAGUGGGGAAUAUUGCACAAUGGGCGCAAGCCUGAUGCAGCGACGCCGCGUGGGGGAUGACGGCCUUCGGGUUGUAAACUCCUUUCGCUAGGGACGAAGCUUUUUGUGACGGUACCUAGAUAAGAAGCACCGGCUAACUACGUG